CCUAAGUGGGUGGUAAACUCCAUCUAAGGCUAAAUACAACCACGAGACCGAUAGCACACAAGUACCGUGAGGGAAAGGUGAAAAGAACUUUGAAGAGAGAGUUCAAGAGUACGUGAAACUGAGGUGGUGUAAACGGACGAGAUCGAAAAGUCCGAAUGGGGAGAUUCAAGCCUAUCCGUGCCGGUGGCCGACGGGUACAGAUGGCGCUGACGGCCGGGGCCCCUCGGGGUGCCCGGUGCGGUCAGCGCCACUCGUCCUGGCGGUAUCUGUCUGGUGCGGUGGGCUGCACUUCUCCCCUAGUAGGACGUCGCGACCCGUUGGGAUGUUUCGAUCCAUGGCCCGGGGUGGAGCCCGCGGCGGAGCGGUGGUUUCGGCCGCCGUUGCUGUCCACGGACCCUCGGUGACCUGAUCGGCGCUCGACGGUAUCAAAGCUUGGGAAGGGACCGCACAGAGGUUGCGUCCGAUGCCUCACGGCUACACUCGGACAGGUCCGCACCCGGUCUGCGGCGCUACUGCUUUCGAUACUCGUCCGA
This 533-nucleotide ribosomal RNA is filed under the name Scirtothrips pan. Its description in RNAcentral is "eukaryotic LSU rRNA". It matches the Rfam family "Eukaryotic large subunit ribosomal RNA", at positions 287 to 647 of the family's 3401-position model. Lineage: Eukaryota; Metazoa; Arthropoda; Insecta; Thysanoptera; Thripidae. The record is from RNAcentral.